AACAGCACGAGAAAGAGCUUCAGGACGGGGGCCGGGCACGCCAGGCUCCCUGGGCCGUCUAAGGCUGAGGUCAUCACAGGGCCAGGGAGAGCCACUGGCAUCUUCCCAGAGACUUUGGUCUUUCCAAUCCUGCUGAGCAACAUUGGCAGCGGGAGUGAGGAGGAGGAACUCAGAUCCCCCAAGGCCUCGGCUGAGAACGCCCUUUCUGGUCUUGGGCCUUCUCCAGCUCAGACACAUCCAGGGACCCACACACGGAGAACUCACGAGCUGGCCAGGCCCCACCCCCGGGCAUCCAGGACUGCCGAUCCCUUACAGGCGACCAGCCACAGGACACGUAUAUUGAGCAUGAGGAGCCUUCGUCAUACAAAGGGUCUCAAAGAACUUCCCCCGAGACAUUGCAAAAUAGCAAUGAAAACCAUCAAGAUGGUGGGACACAUAAAUUAACAAAAAAAAAAAAUGACCCAUGAAGAAUAAAAAUAACCAGAUACUCAGACAAUGAGGUCCCUAGCAGAGGUGGUGGAGGGCUAUGUUCAAGAACAUGGACUCCAGGGUCAGACUAACCCGUUUAAGCAUCAUCAGUUCCAUGACCGACUAGUUAUCUAAACGUGGGCAAGUGGUUUAACCUCAAAGAGCUCCAGCUUCCCUGUAUUCAAAUAAUGGUACCUUCCCCACAGGGUUGCUGCAAAGAAUCGAUGGGAAGAAACCUGCCAAGGACAGACCACAGCAUCUGGAACAAAGGACACAUCCCAUAAACACUAGCCCUUAUCGCUGCUGUUUUGAGGUUUGACACAGUUGCCGUGCCUGAGCCAAGAAUUUGGUUUUGAGCUUCCAGGUGGCCAAAGCAAAAAUGGAAAUACUGUCCGUGAGACAGUUCCUGUUAUCCAUAAGGAGAAAAGAAAAAGGAGGAUGAGGGGAGCAACGCAUCUUCCUGGCGGUAGCCUCUAAAAGACCUCAGAAAGGCUUCUAAAGUCUUGGGAGCUGGGUCAGUGACAGCACAGCAGGCAUGUCCCUUACCCACUUUGGUCAGCAAAAGCAGAAAUGCCCUUCAUGGGUAUUGUCUCGAUGCCGAAACGGAGUCUCUGGUGCCACCCACUCCAGCUGGAACCUGCACACUUAACCUCUGUUAUGUGUCCCCCUGGGGCCCUCAGAAUCACCCCCCACCAAGGAAAAUCAUGCCUAAGUCCCUGGGUGACACACCAGCCCUGCCAACCACCUUGUUGAAGAGUCUACUGGAGUCAUCUUACGCUGCCAUGGUUCUGAAUGCUGGUGAAGACAGCAAGUGUGCAGUCGGCACACAUCUGCUUGAUUCAGAGCUGGCCUGAGGGCUGACCACCUACCCUCAGGUCCCCUAAAGGGGGGAGCCUGACUCACACGCCCUCACCACCUUCUGUUACUCUUGGUCCUUGACAAAGGACCAGCUACGUAAUUUGUGGGGCCCAGCACAAAAUGAAAAGGUGGGGGCCCUUGUUCAAAAAUGGUGAGGAAUUUCUAGAUGGCGACAGCAGAGCGUUAAACCAAGCGGGGAGCCGUCCUAAGUGGGGGGCCCGGUGCGCACGAGCAGACAGGAUGCACCUGGAGCCAGCCUUACUUUAAGCACCCCCCCACCAACCAAGAACAUACAAAAAUGGGCCUUUCACCAACACCGACCCCACACCAGGCUCUGAGGCCAGAAAGCAACAAAAAUCAUGAAAAGAGCAAGGACUUUAGCACCAAAGAACCUGAACCUGAAUCCUCGCUGGGCCACUCACAAGCCGGGUGACAUUUGCAGUCAAGGGGCAUGAAAACAACAAUAGCCCAAGGAUGUCUGCCCGGCCCCCAGCAAUCAUCUAAGCCCUUUCCUGCCUCCUCUGAGCACCUGCCAGGCCCACGAGGUAAACAGAAUCCUCAGAUCCAUCAUCCAGACAAGGAACGCAGGGACAUCAGAGCUGGGAGCCUGCAGCCCAGGGAGCCAGACUGGAGCCCCAGAAAGGCCCGUGGGACCCAGGAGCCCAUCCUCCCUUCUCCAGGCAGGAGGGACCACCCACAAGCUGGAGCUGCCCAGUCUGCAUGGAAGAGUCCAUUGGUGGCAAAAUCCCACAAUUAGGCACUGUCUUCCAGAAGAAAUCCCGGCACCCCAGUUGGCCCAAUUAGCCUCCCACAGCGUCUGCAUCAGGAGAAUUCAUUCAUCCACCUGAAGGCUAUUUCGUGUCAUGGCUGAAAGUUACCUGCACAGUCUUGCCACUUCCCACCUGUGUGACCUGGAGCAAGUUACCGCUCUCUGCCUCAGUUUCUUCACAUAAACAUACUGUUUGAAGCGACGCCACGGCCUGAGCAAACUGAAGUAAAUCAGACAGCAAUUCGGGCUGGGAAGUCAGGUGGGCCGGGGUUCCAAUCCAGGCUUUGCCACUCAUUCGAGAGUGGUUUGCCACUCAAAAGGUGUUCCCAAAAGCAGCUCCCGCAGCACGCUCCACUGCUAACGGCUCCGUGACACUGCGUCCAAAUCCUGGAAGUCACAUCGUGCAGUGAGUGCUCCACUACGAGACACGCUCAUGAGAGCUGGGGACUGAAGGCACAGCUGUCCUUGUCAGGAAUGUGCGGGCAGUAAGACAAGUCACAUGCUGUUUAUCAGGAAAUUGGGUCAAAACCCGAAGAAAUACUCUGAAUUCCUGGCAGUAAGGCCACCGAUCCCCCUGAGGGGUCGGGGAUCUGUUGCUACGCUGUGUACACAACCACAGACGGGUACAACAGGAAUAAAAUGGGGUAGGGCCCGAAGACGGAGAACUCCCAUCUGGCUGGGGACGGGAAGGAAGGGCAGUUGAAGGUAAUCGAGCUUUAAACCAGCAAGCUCAACCGGCCGGUCUUUAAUAACCCACUCAUGCUCCCUCGGAACAACCAGCCUCGCUUCUCUCCUAAUCUUAUCUUCAGCUGCUGCCAUCUGUUCUAGAAUGCGGCCACUCUCCCCUUUGCAGGCUGUUUUCAAGUAGGAAAAAAAGGAGUUGAGUGCCCCCAGGCCCUCGAAGCCCACUGAUCCCCAUCAGUCAUCCCCCUUUCCUGCCCCCCCACAACACAGUGAGCUGUGUAUGGCCUUGAAUUCACACUUGACCCAGGAGCCAGUCAGCGUCAUUCGCAAUGUUUUAAAAGCCAGAGAAGAUAGAUGUUGACACGAUCUGGCAGCUUCCUCUCCCUGAAUCACUGCCCAGAUCUUUCAAUAAAGGAUGUGCCUCUCCUGGCUCUUACGACCUGCCUACCUGAAGAGGAGCAGGGGAACAAAAUGUGUCCCGCCUGCCUGUGCGGGAGCUUUUUCAGUAAUUUCAGAGCCACUCGAGUGAUGGGAGAUUGGCUGACAGGAGGAAAACACUCUAAGAUCUACCAGAUUUGUCCCUGAAGGAGAGAAAAAAGGGUGAAAAAUGAGGGGCAUGAAGAGUCACCAGAGCAGGUCCUUUCCUGCUAACAGCUUUCAUUGACUUCUGGUCCCAUGGCUCUUCUUGUGCAGAGGAGAGGCCAAGAGUGCCGAGAAAGGCGGAAUAUUAGCCACGGGCUCAGCUUUCCCAUCCACGGAAGUGGGGUUGCACUGCCUGACCUGCAGGGCCGUGUACGUUUACACAAAGAACCUGGCACGUAAUGGGCCUCCCUGGCUAGAAGCACGCAGAUUCAAUGUAUGGCCUCCGACAAGCUGCUUCACCUCUCAGAACAUCGGGGCUUUCUUCCCCCCAUAAAGUGGAAGUGGUUCAAUCUUCAGGGAAUUUGUGUAAGACGUUACACAAGAUCUGCCUCACUGUAAGCUGUUUUGUACCUUCUCUCCAAGAAGUUGAGCAGGUCUGAGCUUUGGCACUAAAUGGAAUGGGCAGUUUCUGUGCGUGUAAGGGGCAAUAUUGGGGGCAUCCUUCUCUCCAGACGAGUUGACAGGACAUGAAGUUGCCCAGAGGAGCAUUCAGUCCAGGAUCUGGGAUGUGUAAAGGGAGAAGAAUCACGUAGGUGAGACACAUGAAAGGGGUGCAGUAUGCUUCGUACCAAGCACAGGCACAGUGGUUAAGCACAGAGGCUAAGGCAGGCAGCCAGUCUGAAUCUUGGCUCUUCCACUGCACACCCUCGGGCUGGGAUCUUAACCUCACCACCUCCUAUCCCAUAAGUAGAGACGCUAUGAGGAUUAGUUAAUAUAAAUGGAGUUGUUCUUGGAAUACUACCUGGCAUCGAGAAAGCUGUUAGCAAUUGUAGCAGAGAUUUUUACUCUCCAGAUAUCCGUAGGUUUCCCCUAUUUCAUAGCCUCUCUUGCGGUCAGAUUGGCUCAUGUGACCCAUUGCAGGUCAAAGGGAUGAGAACAAGUGUCACAUGUUUCAGGACUGAAGCGUGUAACAGCUGGUGCCUGUUUGCCAACUUUUCCUCCCCUGCCUCUGCAAUCGUGGAAGCCGUGUGCUGAGAUGUAAGAGCCACACAGUGGAAGUCAUCUGAGUCGCUGAGUCACUGCGUGGAGAACAGCUUGCCCUGGAGUUACCCAACCUGUAUCGACGAUUAUUAAGAAAUAAACCUUUGUUGUAUUAAGCCCUGAAGUCUCGGAGCCUACCCUAUCCUGCCCAGUACAGCGAUUAUUAGACUCGUACUCGAGGGUGAUUACGAUGAGAAAAGGAGAGGCAAAUUUUAGAAAAUGAGGAAACAUUUACUGAGCCUACCAUGUUCCAGGCAUCAUGCUUGGUGCUUUAUUUUUAAUAAUUCUGUUGCUGCUGUGGAAGUGCAACUGGGUCUCAACUGAUAGGGGGACAUCUGACAAUGAAAUGUCUGGAGGCAUCUUGGGUGGUCACAGCUGAAGGGGUACGACUGGCACCUAGUGGGUAGCGGUCAGGGACACUGGUCAACACCCCUAUAGACUGUGUACAAACAGAAACCCUCCAUCGCAGCCCAAACCAUUUCUCAGAGGGAAUCACCAUGGCCACCGGUUUCUUCUACCUUCCGGAUACCCGGAUAUACUCCGCCUAGAGAAGGAUAGGCAUGUGUAGAUCCUUUUUUGUACUCAGGUGGGGGGAAAAAACCACACACCUGGAUCUGCACAUGUGUAUUCUGGAGUUCAUUCCAGAUCCGAACCAACGUACCUACCUCAGCGGUCAAGGAAACAGAUCCUAAUUUCUCACACGGGCCACAAGGGAAGGCCCGCCCCCUAGACUUCCCAAAGGCAACCCCCGAGAUUGAUUUAACUGGCCGGGGAGGGGCCUGCGUACCCACUCGGGUUCCAGUCAAGGUGGAGAGCCACAGGACUAAGCCCUCCACCUGGGCCCUGGAUCUCGGGGCCUCCAGAAGCCUCGGGCAUCUCACUCCACCCAGCGACUUCGUCUCGCUCCCUCUAUUCCCUUCCCCACCAGCCCACAUGUCAUCACCUCCCUCAACCACGUCCUCCAUCAGCCACCACCACGGCUCUUUCUUUCCCUUCACAGCCCAGGGUUUCUCCACUCACUCACUUUCAAUUCACCCUUCAAACCAUUUAGGUUCCUCCCUCCCAGGUCACCAAGCUCUUUAAUUUUCAGAUGGUGAUUUUUUGAAAUACUUCCCUGUUACUUCCGUGACUUUAGCAACAUUCAGCUGUUUGGCUGGAAAUUAACAGUCAAGCAGUCAUAAAAGUGCAACCCUAUUAAUCCAGGACAGAAAGACUGGUGGCAACCAAGCUAAAGAUACUAACUAAACCAGUGAAUGCAGGCGUUUCUUCUUCCUGGUCCUCCAGUUUGGGGAAUCGGUAUUUGCAGCAAGCAGAGGUACACUUAGCAAUACCAAGAGAAAAAGCCCUAACAAAACUGGGUAUAGUUUGGCACGUGUUAAGAUGGAGACUGUUUACCAGACAGCCAAAUCAAAAUAUCAAAUAAGCAAUCUGAGAACUCUAGAGUUGAGACGAGAUAAGCUGGACAUAUAAAUUUGAGUCUUCAAUAUAGAUGGUACCUAAAGGCAUGCAAUGGAGAUGGUCUCAACAAGGGAAUGAACGUACAGAAAUCCAAGAGCAAAUCCUCGGGAGGAUGAAGAGGAACAGGCAAGAGACUGAGGAGCAAGGCAGCACGUGAGCGCAGAACGGAGGCUAAGAAGGUGGUUCCAGAAGGAACAGCCAACCCUGUCAAACAGCACUGAAGGUCAAGUGCGGAGAGCACUGGCCCUCGCCAUCUGGUCCUCACUGCUGACCCUGACAAGCAGUCCCAGCGGAGGCCGAGCCUGACUGUCUUCAAAGUGAAAAAUGGAAAAUCUCGUACAGAAAACUCUUCUAAGGAAUUCUACCGUAAAAAGGAACAGGAACUGGAGACAGAAGUGGCCUGAGAUCAACCCAUCCUGAGUCAUAAACAGAAGAUUUUUAAAAGGCCAUCUAACUCUCUUGUAAUAUUUCAGAAGCAAGGAAAUCCCAUAAUGUUCUCCUUCAACGGUUUCUGCCUACCAGAAAUUAUUUCACAGCCAAAGACUUUUGGCUCACAGAGGCAGGGUCACAGGGCAUUUAAGUCUUAAGUGCUAGUGUCACAUUACUACAUGUAAUACACACAUCGUUUAGCCCACCAGGAAGGAAAUAUACGUGAUAACUUGCCCAAGGCCGCCCUACCCCAGGACACGCACCACAGAGAAAGGCACACUGCAGACAUAUUAAUUUCUUGCUAUUUUUCAAAACAGCUGUUAGAUAAAAUCACAAGUGAUUUCCUUCCUGCUAAGAUACAGACCAUGAAUAUUUUCCUAACUAUGUGUGUGAACGUGCGUGUGACACGUGCUAACUGAGUUUCCUAAGGGAAAUUCUGCACAACAUCCGGGUCAAAGAGCACUUUGCAUUAUCAAAAAGGAUAAACCAGAGGGGGAAAAAAUGCACGACAAAGAGUCUUUACUUUUAAAUGAUUAUCUGUACACCAAGGGAUAACAUGUAACAAGUUCUUGAAUUCUAUCAUCUAGCAAUUUUGACUUAGAUACACUAAAAGCAGCCCAAGCAAUUAUAGUGGUGUUCAUUGUUCUAACCCUCAGGCAGAAACGACUAUUUUAAGGCCGGCUGCUGCUUCACACGUUACAAAUGACUAUUUACUACUUUUUCAUAGAGAAGCCCCUGACCUUCAAGAAAGCUUUAGGGAAAAAAAUA
This is a non-coding RNA of Equus caballus (horse), 7057 nucleotides long. NCBI's taxonomy places the organism in Eukaryota, Metazoa, Chordata, Mammalia, Perissodactyla, Equidae. The record is from RefSeq and is a predicted model, not a curated record.